RNAcentral lists this ribosomal RNA (373 nucleotides) under uncultured organism. RNAcentral describes it as "partial 16S ribosomal RNA". It matches the Rfam family "Bacterial small subunit ribosomal RNA", at positions 527 to 896 of the family's 1533-position model. The record is from RNAcentral.
GUAGGGGGCUAGCGUUUGUCCGGAUUCAUUGGGCGUAAAGAGCGUGUAGGCGGUUCGAUAGGUCCGGUGUGAAAACUCGAGGCUCAACCUCGAGAGGUCGCCGGAAACCAUUGAGCUAGAGUCCGGAAGAGGAGAGUGGAAUUCCUGGUGUAGCGGUGAAAUGCGCAGAUAUCAGGAAGAACACCCAUGGCGAAGGCAGCUCUCUGGGACGGUACUGACGCUGAGACGCGAAAGCGUGGGGAGCGAACAGGGAUUAGAUACCCUGGUAGUCCACGCCGUAAACGAUGGGCACUAGGUGUGGGUGGUGUCGACUCCAUCCGUGCCGAAGCUAACGCAUUAAGUGCCCCCGCCUGGGGAUACGGCCGCAAGGCUA